UCUAAGUCGCUAACCCUAAUCCCUCAUUCCCUCAGCCUCUCUUCGAGAUUUCGACUGACCCUGACCCUCAGCCUCUCUUCGACUCACUCCCUCUGUCCCUCAGUUUCAGUCGCCGCCGACCCACCGCAAAGUUCGACGGUUCGGCCUUAUCUCUAAGCUAGCUCUAACCUCUCAGUCAGCCAUCUCACUCCCUCAGCCUUUCAGUCUCAGUCUUCCUAUUCAUAAUCUCGAACCGCUGAACCGCCGACCCACGGCUUUGCUUCGACCCACUACCAAGAGCCGCCUUCAUCUCACAACUCUCAAUCUCCCUCAGUCCCUCAUCUCAAAUUUCAUGAACCCAUCUUAAAUCUUACUCUUGGACAGUUUGAGUCUUGGGGAAAGCGGAGGCCGGAACUCAGGAAGACGAGCAGUCGGAGUAGACAGGAGGAAGGAGGGUGAGGUAUGCAAGGCAGUGAUCUGCUUAAAAUUGCAAUGAGGAGCAAACUGGAUGUUGGAGAACAUGCAAUUCAAUUUGCGUGUGUUCAAAUCAUUCCCUUUGUGCAAAGGGUUAUCCCUUUCAAGGGAAAAGAUGCUUACAGUCAAGGAGUCAUUGAUGUAGUGCGAGUAGAAGAUCCAAGAUGAAGUAGAACGAUUAGCAUGGGUGGAGAUCAUGUGCAGUGACCACGGUGGGUAGAGAUGGUAGUGAUUUGACAGCUACAACCAUUGGUAAAGCACGUUGGCAGGAACUUGACCAUGUUGUGGAAGAACUGGAGAAAAUUGUUGUUGUCAAUCUUCAGCAGCGAUCAAUAAUAUCUCUCAUUGGAAAUGUGCAGAAAUCAUCACUAAUAUU
Long non-coding RNA from Rosa chinensis, 829 nucleotides. RefSeq lists it as uncharacterized. The transcript has 7 exons. The record is from RefSeq and is a predicted model, not a curated record. NCBI's taxonomy places the organism in Eukaryota, Viridiplantae, Streptophyta, Magnoliopsida, Rosales, Rosaceae.